AAAAAUAAAGAAAAAAGAAAAAGAAGAAACAAAGAGAGGAACAACAACAACAAACACUCUUAGCAGAGAUCGAGCUUAUACACGAAGAAGCAGAGACCAAAAUUUUCAAUACAAAAAAUUUAGCAGAAAAAAAAAAUCAAAAUUGAAAAAAAAUAAAUAGAGAGAGAAAAAGAGAUUAACGAAGAAGAAGCUUCGAAGAUUCGAAAUCAGCAAGUGAAGUUCGAGAUUUCAAUUCAAUUUUCUGAACUUCGUUAAGGUUAGAGUUCAAUCAAUGUAUACUUUUUACUCAAUUUUCUGCUUCAUUUCAUUGAAAUUACGUAAUUUCGUAAUUUUUGUAAUUUCCCCAAUUUUUUUGUGAAGAAUAAAAAUCUAAUUUUUAUUAUUGGGUUUGCUC
This 394-nucleotide long non-coding RNA is filed under the name Trifolium pratense (red clover). RNAcentral describes it as "long non-coding RNA (TPRA_LNC006923)". The record is from RNAcentral. Lineage: Eukaryota; Viridiplantae; Streptophyta; Magnoliopsida; Fabales; Fabaceae.